Oreochromis aureus is the source of this 714-nucleotide long non-coding RNA. RefSeq lists it as uncharacterized. The transcript has 3 exons. Lineage: Eukaryota; Metazoa; Chordata; Actinopteri; Cichliformes; Cichlidae. The record is from RefSeq and is a predicted model, not a curated record.
CCCUGCACUGCCUUUCCCCAGGACCCUGCCAUGAGGAAAAGUCGGGCUCCCCUGCAAGUGGACAGAAAAAAACCUCUUGAAUUCACACAGAAGAGAAAGAUUGUGAUGUGAGAAGUGCUUCCAUCGGUGAACGUCUCCAUCCCCGCCAUGCGAGCAGCCUGUCUGGACAAGAGAGGGAUGGAGAGCAAAAUGAUGGGGGAGAGGAGGAUACGGGGGAGGCAGAGCGGUUUCCAUGGCGACCCGGUGGCUGUGGUGCUGCUGCUGCUGAGGAGAAAGAAGCGCGUGCGUGAGAGAGGGCGAGGAAGCGGGGAGCGAGGCGAGGCGAGACGGUCGUCUGAAAGUGCAGGCAGGGGGGGUCACGCCCCCUAUCAGAGGUAAAUGAGCAAUCAGCAGCAUUUCGGAGGCGUAAUUACACACAAACAAACAAACAAACGUCACGCUGUGACUGCUGUUUUGCCACUUUAAUUUUACGGCAGCAGGUUUGUUUUGCGGCUGAGAGACGUUUAAAACGCCGGGCGUGACCCUAGAGCUGAGAGGCCCUGCAUAAUAAUCCGAUUAAAACGCGCAUAAAAGAAACAGCAAAGUUCCCGCAGUUAAACAUCAGAUUGAAUCAACGCUGAAGAAGAUUCCACUCCAACUUCUGUAACUUCUUGACGCGUGCGGUUCUGACAUGAUGCCGCUGAGCUGAUUUUCACCAGGAGCUCUGCUGUUUUG